RNAcentral lists this small RNA (95 nucleotides) under Marmota monax (woodchuck). Lineage: Eukaryota; Metazoa; Chordata; Mammalia; Rodentia; Sciuridae. The record is from RNAcentral.
GCUGGGCGUGGUGGCACACGCCUGUAAUCCCAGCAAUUUGGGAGGCUGACGCAGGAGGAUUGAGAGUUGAAAGCCCUAAUGAGACCCUGUCUUUU